CCUACGGUGGGCAGCAGUGGGGAAUAUUGGACAAUGGGCGAAAGCCUGAUCCAGCCAUGCCGCGUGUGUGAAGAAGGCCUUCGGGUUGUAAAGCACUUUCAGUGGGGAAGAAAGCCUUGGGGCUAAUACCCUCGAGGAAGGACAUCACCCACAGAAGAAGCACCGGCUAACUACGUGCCAGCAGCCGCGGUAAUACGGAGGGUGCGAGCGUUAAUCGGAAUUACUGGGCGUAAAGCGCGCGUAGGCGGUCUGGUAAGCCGGUUGUGAAAGCCCCGGGCUCAACCUGGGAACGGCAUCCGGAACUGUCAGGCUAGAGUGCAGGAGAGGAAGGUAGAAUUCCCGGUGUAGCGGUGAAAUGCGUAGAGAUCGGGAGGAAUACCAGUGGCGAAGGCGGCCUCCUGGACUGGCACUGACGCUGAGGUGCGAAAGCGUGGGUAGCAAACAGGAUUAGAUACCCCGGUAGUC
This 465-nucleotide ribosomal RNA is filed under the name Vreelandella stevensii. RNAcentral describes it as "partial 16S ribosomal RNA". It matches the Rfam family "Bacterial small subunit ribosomal RNA", at positions 338 to 795 of the family's 1533-position model. The record is from RNAcentral. Lineage: Bacteria; Pseudomonadati; Pseudomonadota; Gammaproteobacteria; Oceanospirillales; Halomonadaceae.